Molecule: unclassified non-coding RNA, 398 nt
Filed under: Drosophila pseudoobscura pseudoobscura
Lineage: Eukaryota; Metazoa; Arthropoda; Insecta; Diptera; Drosophilidae
Description: GA32514
Source: RNAcentral
UCGGCAGAUUUCAUUUUUGUUUUCUUUUUCCUUAUUUUUGUUUUUUUGGGACUUAUGUAAAGAGGCAAAUGAGUAAUGAGUGCAAGCCAAAAGCUACUCUUCUACAUAUACAGAACUAAUGUAUCUUAAUAAGGCUGGAGAUGGAGAUGGAGUACAGUCCCCUAGAGUUUCGCGGAACCCCUGAUGGAAUGUGGAAGGUGGGCAACAGGUUCGCUCUGCAGCAGUUGGAAGGAAUGUUUUGAAUUAGAAGCCUCAAAUUUGGAACAUUAUAGAGUGUCAGGCGCCUGGCUUUGCUGGUGGAGAACCAAUGCAGCAUUCCACAAAUACAACAAGGGAAGAUGAUCUAUCUGUGGAUUCUGCUCUCGAGCGCGCUCUCUCGCACAGGUCUUACCGGGGAA